AGUCGUCAUUUGUCGGAGGAAUGUAUUUCUGCACUGAGGAGUGACAAGGUUGGCAUCUCUAAAGCUGAAUACAUGGGUGGUGCUGUCCAAAAGUUACUGCUGGAUAUUUUCUUCCAGCAGUAACAGAGGGGGUACCACAGCCAGAAUUCAUAUCGACAUGGAGACAGAGAAUGGUACAAUGAAAGACAUUCAAAGAUUUUUGCGUCUUGAUGACAGCUAUCCUGAAAACUACUUCAUUGUGGGAUCCAGCACCCACAGCCAGCACAUCAACAGCCAGUACUGGAUGAACCUUUUUCAAAAACUGAAGAAUACAGAUUACUUUACUGGUGACUUCUUGGAUAAGCAGCCAAUUCUGCUCACCUGUUUAAAUAUCACUGAGGAAGAACUCUUAAAGUGGUUCACUUAUGGAACAUAAUUCGUAAGAUUAGAGAUACUAUUGCUCCAAGUUGCCGGUCCUACAUGAUGUAUACCCUUCCAUGGCUUUUUGGUGAACAAGACAAUCUCAAACAGGUUUCUGAGCAAGCGGCGGAAACUUGCACAGUCCAACGUCUUCAGAGGACCGUUCACACGUGAUGAGACAGUUCGAAGUAUCAUACCUUCUGAUGACAGAGAACUUUCUUCAUGCACCGUCCACACAUGAUGAAACAAUUGAGUUAUGCUUAUUUUUAAGAGCUAAUAUACGCACAAACCUGUGACACGUGUGAUAUUUUCUUGUAAAAAAAGAGUUUGUGGAGCAAAUGACCUUGUGAGCCUGUCCAGAAUGAACCUGUCACUUUCCCACACAGUCAGAAUUAGGCAGCUGCAGACCCCACAACCCAUAAAGGACAGGCAGUCAAAGAAAUACAGAUGGAGGGGGAAAAAACAGACCUCUGUUUUCUUCGAUUCCCAUGUA
Molecule: long non-coding RNA, 892 nt
Organism: Fundulus heteroclitus (mummichog)
Lineage: Eukaryota; Metazoa; Chordata; Actinopteri; Cyprinodontiformes; Fundulidae
Exons: 3
Source: RefSeq, a predicted model, not a curated record